Molecule: ribosomal RNA, 468 nt
Filed under: uncultured bacterium
Lineage: Bacteria
Description: partial 16S ribosomal RNA
Rfam family: Bacterial small subunit ribosomal RNA
Source: RNAcentral
GACGAACGCUGGCGGCGUGCUUAACACAUGCAAGUCGAACGAUAAUCUCCCGCUUUCGGCGGUGAUUAGUGGCGCACGCGUGUGUAAUACGUGAGUGACCUGCCCUUGACUCUGGGAUAAGCCUGGCAAACCGGGUCUAAUACUCGAUACUACUUCCUGCCGCAUGGUGGGGGGUGGUCAGGCUUUUACGGGUUUUGUAUGGGCUCACGGCCUAUCAGCUUGUUGGUGGAGUAGUGGCUCACCAAGGCGACGACGGGUAGCCGGCCUGAGAGGGUGACCGGCCACAAUGCGACUGAGAGACGGCGCAGUCUCCAACGGGAGACAGCAGGGGGGAAUAUUGCACAGUGGGCGGAAGCCUGAUACAGCGGCGCCGCGUGUGGGAUGAAGGCCUGCGGGGUGUAAACCUCUUUCAGCAGGGACGGAGCCAGAAGGAACGGAACCGGCAGAAGAAGCGCCGGCAACUUACGG